This 253-nucleotide ribosomal RNA is filed under the name uncultured bacterium. Its description in RNAcentral is "partial 16S ribosomal RNA". It matches the Rfam family "Bacterial small subunit ribosomal RNA", at positions 524 to 776 of the family's 1533-position model. The record is from RNAcentral.
UACGAAGGUGGCAAGCGUUGUUCGGAUUUACUGGGCGUACAGGGAGCGUAGGCGGUUGGAUAAGCCCUCCGUGAAAUCUCCAGGCUUAACCUGGAAAGUGCAGAGGGGACUGUUCAGCUAGAGGAUGGGAGAGGAGCGCGGAAUUCCCGGUGUAGCGGUGAAAUGCGUAGAGAUGGGGGAGAACACUCGUGGCGAAGGCGGCCAGCUAGACCAGUUCUGACACUGAGGCGCGACAGCGUGGGGAGCAAACAGG